Long non-coding RNA from Cannabis sativa, 368 nucleotides. RefSeq lists it as uncharacterized. The record is from RefSeq and is a predicted model, not a curated record. The transcript has 2 exons. NCBI's taxonomy places the organism in Eukaryota, Viridiplantae, Streptophyta, Magnoliopsida, Rosales, Cannabaceae.
GCUAUUCAGCUUUGCGAUUCACCUCCUCUCACUCGUCUCUCUUGCUUUCACUUACGGAGCCUGCAACAAAGUUUUCUCGGAAGCAUUGUUGAAUUUAGUAGGAGACAGUGAACUUUUCAAGACCAGGAAUUCAUUUCAUUUUAUUUUUAUCACGCAUCCAUGUAGAUUGAUCUAUAAACUUGUUUAUAGAAGAAUUUGAAUAUCUUACAUAUUCAUCCAUAGUGAAGUAAAUUCUGAGAAAAUUUGUGUGCUACGCUGAUAUAAGGAUGAGAACUUGUGUAUUGUUUUAUUGAUUAUAGUUAAAAGGGUUAUUUGCGGUAAAACCCCUAAAGUAGGGAGGUUUUUGCAACUAACCCCCAAUUCUAAAA